AGAGUUUGAUCCUGGCUCAGAACGAACGCUGGCGGCAUGCUUAAACACAUGCAAGUUGUACGCUAGGGAGCAAUCCUGGAGUAGCGAACGGGUGAGUAAUACAUAGGAAAUCUGGCUUAGAGAGGGGGAUAGCUGAUGGAAACGUCAGGUAAUACCGCAUACGCCCUACGGGGAAAGGGAGAGAUUCGCUUUAAGAUGAGCCUAUGGUUGAUUAGCUAGUUGGUGGGGUAAGAGCCUACCAAGGCGAUGAUCAAUAGCUGUUCUGAGAGGAAGAUCAGCCACAUUGGAACUGAGACACGGUCCAGACUCCUACGGGAGGCAGCAGUGAGGAAUAUUGGACAAUGGGGGAAACCCUGAUCCAGCAAUGCCGCGUGAGUGAAGAAGGCCUUCGGGUUGUAAAGCUCUUUUGCCGAUGAAGAUAAUGACGGUAGUCGGAGAAUAAGCCCCGGCUAACUUCGUGCCAGCAGCCGCGGUAAUACGAAGGGGGCAAGCGUUGUUCGGAAUUACUGGGCGUAAAGGGUGCGUAGGCUGUUUAGUAAGUUAGAUGUGAAAGCCUUGGUUUCAAGCUAAGAAUAGCAUUUAAUACUGCUAAACUAGAGGAUAAGAGAGGAUAGUGGAAUUCUGAGUGUAGAGGUAAAAUUCGUAGAUAUUCAGAGGAACACCAGAGGCGAAAGCGUCUAUCUGGAUUAAUCCUAACGCUGAGGCACGAAAGUAUGGGGAGCAAACAGGAUUAGAUACCCUGGUAGUCCAUACUAUAAACGAUGAACACUAAGGGUCGGGACGUAAGUUUCGGUCUUCAAGCUAACGCGUUAAGUGUUCCGCCUGGGGAGUACGGUCGCAAGAUUAAAACUCAAAUGAAUUGACGG
This 866-nucleotide ribosomal RNA is filed under the name uncultured bacterium. RNAcentral's name for it is "bacterial SSU rRNA". It matches the Rfam family "Bacterial small subunit ribosomal RNA", at positions 8 to 916 of the family's 1533-position model. The record is from RNAcentral.